GAUUAACGCUAGCGGCAGGCCUAAUACAUGCAAGUCGAACGGCAGCACGAGUAGCAAUACUUGGUGGCGAGUGGCGCACGGGUGCGUAACACGUAUGCAAUCUACCCUUAACUGGGGGAUAGCCCCGAGAAAUCGGGAUUAAUACCCCAUAAUAUUACGGAGAGGAGUCUCCCUGUAAUUAAAGCUCCGGCGGUUUUGGAUGAGCAUGCGCGACAUUAGCUAGUUGGUAAGGUAACGGCUUACCAAGGCUUCGAUGUCUAGGGGUUCUGAGAGGAUUUACCCCCACACUGGUACUGAGACACGGACCAGACUCCUACGGGAGGCAGCAGUAAGGAAUAUUGGUCAAUGGACGCAAGUCUGAACCAGCCAUGCCGCGUGAAGGAAGACGGCCCUACGGGUUGUAAACUUCUUUUGUACAGGAAAAAACCACCGGUCGUGAAUCGGUGCUGAUGGUACUGUAAGAAUAAGGAUCGGCUAACUCCGUGCCAGCAGCCGCGGUAAUACGGAGGAUCCAAGCGUUAUCCGGAUUCAUUGGGUUUAAAGGGUGCGCAGGCGGAAUGAUAAGUCAGUGGUGAAAUCCUACGGCUCAACUGUAGAACUGCCAUUGAUACUGUCGUUCUUGAGUACACUUGGAGUGGGCGGAAUGUGUCAUGUAGCGGUGAAAUGCUUAGAUAUGACACAGAACACCGAUCGCGAAGGCAGCUCACUAAGUUGUAACUGACGCUCAGGCACGAAAGCGUGGGGAUCAAACAGGAUUAGAUACCCUGGUAGUCCACGCCGUAAACGAUGAUUACUCGAUGUUGGCGAUAUACUGUCAGCGUCUAAGCG
Molecule: ribosomal RNA, 828 nt
Filed under: uncultured bacterium
Lineage: Bacteria
Description: bacterial SSU rRNA
Rfam family: Bacterial small subunit ribosomal RNA
Source: RNAcentral